UGCCGGGUCCUACGCGGCGCAACCCCGCCAACCCCGCCAGGUCCGGAAGGAAGCAACGGUAACGGGUAUGUGCGCGCGCAGUGGGUCACCCGGUACUUU
This 99-nucleotide signal recognition particle RNA is filed under the name Acidobacterium capsulatum ATCC 51196. RNAcentral describes it as "Bacterial signal recognition particle RNA". It matches the Rfam family "Bacterial small signal recognition particle RNA". From Rfam's summary of the family: The signal recognition particle (SRP) is a universally conserved ribonucleoprotein involved in the co-translational targeting of proteins to membranes. The record is from RNAcentral. Lineage: Bacteria; Pseudomonadati; Acidobacteriota; Terriglobia; Terriglobales; Acidobacteriaceae.